This 232-nucleotide ribosomal RNA is filed under the name uncultured bacterium. RNAcentral's name for it is "partial 16S ribosomal RNA". It matches the Rfam family "Bacterial small subunit ribosomal RNA", at positions 99 to 334 of the family's 1533-position model. The record is from RNAcentral.
CGGACGGGUGAGUAAUGUCUGGGAAACUGCCCGAUGGAGGGGGAUAACUACUGGAAACGGUGGCUAAUACCGCAUAACGUCGCAAGACCAAAGAGGGGGACCUUAGGGCCUCUUGCCAUCGGAUGUGCCCAGAUGGGAUUAGCUAGUAGGUGGGGUAAUGGCUCACCUAGGCGACGAUCCCUAGCUGGUCUGAGAGGAUGACCAGCCACACUGGAACUGAGACACGGUCCAG